GUGACAGGUGGUGCAUGGUUGUCGUCAGCUCGUGUCGUGAGAUGUUGGGUUAAGUCCCGCAACGAGCGCAACCCUUGCCUUUAGUUGCCAGCAUUAAGUUGGGCACUCUAGAGGGACUGCCGAGGAUAACUCGGAGGAAGGUGGGGAUGACGUCAAAUCAUCAUGCCCCUUAUGCUUAGGGCUACACACGUGCUACAAUGGG
This 202-nucleotide ribosomal RNA is filed under the name Sporolactobacillus putidus. Its description in RNAcentral is "partial 16S ribosomal RNA". It matches the Rfam family "Bacterial small subunit ribosomal RNA", at positions 1031 to 1234 of the family's 1533-position model. The record is from RNAcentral. Lineage: Bacteria; Bacillati; Bacillota; Bacilli; Caryophanales; Sporolactobacillaceae.